CUUGGCGGCAAUAGCGCCGUGGAACCACCUGAUCCCAUGCCGAACUCAGAAGUGAAACGCGGUAGCGCCGAUGGUAGUGUGGCAUUCGCCAUGCGAGAGUAGGACACUGCCAGGC
Molecule: ribosomal RNA, 115 nt
Filed under: Aeromonas salmonicida
Lineage: Bacteria; Pseudomonadati; Pseudomonadota; Gammaproteobacteria; Aeromonadales; Aeromonadaceae
Source: RNAcentral